Dipodomys spectabilis (banner-tailed kangaroo rat) is the source of this 339-nucleotide long non-coding RNA. RefSeq lists it as uncharacterized. NCBI's taxonomy places the organism in Eukaryota, Metazoa, Chordata, Mammalia, Rodentia, Heteromyidae. The record is from RefSeq and is a predicted model, not a curated record. The transcript has 3 exons.
GGAGCCCGACUUCCGGAGCUCUGCCCCUUCCUCUGGAUUUCCCGCUCCCAAGCCCCGCGCUUUCCAGCCUCCCGGCGCGCGACCGUCGCGGAAAUUGAUACACUGUAUUUGAAAGUAGCAUGCAUGGGGCAUGCCUCAAAACCAACAACUACCACCAGCAAAAGUGGAAUUUGGGAAGGAAAGUGAUGUCCCCAUCAUAACCUUUACUGUGGAGUGAGAUGAAAAGAAGGUUCCCGUCCUGCUUGCUGCCUGAUUUUAGGAUAUAUGUAAAAUUUUGUAUUAAAAUAUUCUUAAGAGGAUACAGCCGGGCGCUGGUGGCUCUCGCCUGUAAUCCUAGCU